CGGCGUAUCUGGACAUCGCUUUUGCGUGUGGAUCGCGUCAACGCGUUUCUGUUUUACAGGUUUCUGUCUGCAGGUUCUUAUGGCCAACGAAGCCUUCGCCUUGUCGCCGAUCUCAGCCCGCGCCGCGUCACCGACGGACGCGGACUUCGAGGCUAUUCGCGAGGCGUUUCUGGAGACCGCGCGCGGCCGCUGGUUUCUGGACGAGUACACCAAGCGCAACCGCAACGCCGACACCGCGAUGGUGCUCGAGGCUGUCGCCCGUAUCGAAAGCUCGCUUGCUGCCCAGAAAGAAGAACAG
This 298-nucleotide unclassified non-coding RNA is filed under the name Hevea brasiliensis (rubber tree). Lineage: Eukaryota; Viridiplantae; Streptophyta; Magnoliopsida; Malpighiales; Euphorbiaceae. The record is from RNAcentral.